UACGGAGGGUGCAAGCGUUAAUCGGAAUUACUGGGCGUAAAACGCGCGUAGGCGGCUGAGUAAGUCGAUUGUGAAAUCCCCGGGCUCAACCUGGGAAUGGCGAUGGAUACUGGCUCGCUAGAGUGCGGUAGAGGAGAGUGGAAUUCCCGGUGUAGCAGUGAAAUGCGUAGAGAUCGGGAGGAACAUCAGUUGCGAAGGCGGCUCUCUGGACCAGCACUGACACUGAGGCACGAAAGCGUGGGGAGCAAACAGG
Molecule: ribosomal RNA, 253 nt
Filed under: uncultured bacterium
Lineage: Bacteria
Description: partial 16S ribosomal RNA
Rfam family: Bacterial small subunit ribosomal RNA
Source: RNAcentral